UCCUGGCUCAGAUUGAACGCUGGCGGCAUGCUUUACACAUGCAAGCGAACGGCAGCGGGGGCUUCGGCCUGCCGGCGAGUGGCGAACGGGUGAGUAAUGCAUCGGAACGUGCCCAUGUCGUGGGGGAUAACGUAGCGAAAGCUACGCUAAUACCGCAUACGCCCUGAGGGGGAAAGCGGGGGAUUCUUCGGAACCUCGCGCGAUUGGAGCGGCCGAUGUCGGAUUAGCUAGUAGGUGAGGUAAAGGCUCACCUAGGCGACGAUCCGUAGCGGGUCUGAGAGGAUGAUCCGCCACACUGGGACUGAGACACGGCCCAGACUCCUACGGGAGGCAGCAGUGGGGAAUUUUGGACAAUGGGCGCAAGCCUGAUCCAGCCAUGCCGCGUGAGUGAAGAAGGCCUCGGUGUAAG
Molecule: ribosomal RNA, 409 nt
Filed under: uncultured bacterium
Lineage: Bacteria
Description: bacterial SSU rRNA
Rfam family: Bacterial small subunit ribosomal RNA
Source: RNAcentral